GACAUAGGUGGCAAACGUUAUCCGGAUUUAUUGGGCGUAAAGGAUGCGUAGAUGGUGGAAUAAGUUAUUGGUCAAAGUCAAGCUCAACUUGGCAGAAGCUGAUAAUACUAUUCUACUGGAGGACAGAAGAGGUUGGCGGAAUUCUGUGUGGAGCGGUGAAAUGCGUUGAUCUACAGAGGAACACCAAAAAAAGGCGAAAGCAGCCAACUAUUCUGCUCCUGACAUUGAGGCAUGAAAGCGUGGGGAGCAAACCGG
RNAcentral lists this ribosomal RNA (255 nucleotides) under uncultured bacterium. Its description in RNAcentral is "partial 16S ribosomal RNA". It matches the Rfam family "Bacterial small subunit ribosomal RNA", at positions 524 to 776 of the family's 1533-position model. The record is from RNAcentral.